GACGAACGCUGGCGGCGUGCUUAACACAUGCAAGUCGAACGGUGAAGCGCCUUCCUUUUUGGUGGGUGUGGAUGAGUGGCGAACGGGUGAGUAACACGUUAGUAACCUGCCCCCUUCUUCUGGAUAACCGCAUGAAAGUGUUGCUAAUACGGGAUAUUCUGGGUCUGUCGCAUGAUGGGUCUGGGAAAGAUAUUGUUUCGGUGGGGGAUGGGCCCGCGGCCUAUCAGCUUGUUGGUGGGGUGAUGGCCUACCAAGGCGGUGAGGGGUAGCCGGCCUGAGAGGGUCGACGGCACCACUGGGACUGCGACACGGACCAGACUCCUACGGGAGGCAGCAGGGGGGAAUAUUGCACAAUCGGCGGCAGCCUGAUGCAGCGACGCCGCGGGAGGGAUGGAGGCCUUCGGGUUGUGAACCUCUUUCGCCAGUGAAGCAGGCCUGCCUCGUUUGUGGGUGGGUUGACGGUAGCUGGAUAAGAAGCGCCGGCUAACUACGUG
RNAcentral lists this ribosomal RNA (494 nucleotides) under uncultured bacterium. Its description in RNAcentral is "partial 16S ribosomal RNA". It matches the Rfam family "Bacterial small subunit ribosomal RNA", at positions 28 to 507 of the family's 1533-position model. The record is from RNAcentral.